Molecule: ribosomal RNA, 483 nt
Filed under: uncultured bacterium
Lineage: Bacteria
Description: bacterial SSU rRNA
Rfam family: Bacterial small subunit ribosomal RNA
Source: RNAcentral
CGGCGGAUGGGUGAGUAACACGUGGGCAACCUGCCUGUAAGGCUGGGAUAACUCGCGGAAACGUGAGCUAAUACCGGAUGAAGUCUUUUAUCGCCUGAUAAAGGAAUGAAAGGUGGCAUAUGCUACCACUUACAGAUGGGCCCGUGGCGCAUUAGCUAGUUGGUGGGAUAAAAGCCUACCAAGGCGACGAUGCGUAGCCGACCUGAGAGGGUGAUCGGCCACACUGGGACUGAGACACGGCCCAGACUCCUACGGGAGGCAGCAGUAGGGAAUCUUCCGCAAUGGACGCAAGUCUGACGGAGCGACGCCGCGUGAGUGAUGAAGGUCUUCGGAUCGUAAAACUCUGUUGUCAGGGAAGAACAAGUGCCGUUCGAAUAGGGCGGUACCUUGACGGUACCUAACCAGAAAGCCCCGGCUAACUACGUGCCAGCAGCCGCGGUAAUACGUAGGGGGCAAGCGUUAUCCGGAAUUAUUGGGCGUAAA